AUGGACGAGUUCGAGAGCGGCGAUAAGGGAAUCGCCGGGCCCGCCCCGGGCCCCGGCGCUGGCGACGACGGCAACUCUGCGCCGCUCCCUGAGACGGUGCAAAUUGGAAAUUCACCAACCUAUAAGCUUGGAAGGAAGCUUGGAAAGGGUGGAUUUGGACAAGUAUAUGUUGGUCGACGUGUUUCCUCUCCCAGUCUUGGUGAUAGAAACCCUGGUGCAAAUGCUUUGGAGGUUGCAUUAAAGUUUGAACAUCGAACUAGCAAAGGUUGCAAUUAUGGAGCUCCAUCUGAGUGGCAGGUUUACAACACUCUUAGUGGAAAUCAUGGUGUCCCACGGGUACACUACAAAGGAAAGCAGGGCGAGUUUUACAUCAUGGUUAUGGAUAUGUUGGGACCAAGCCUGUGGGAUGUUUGGAAUAAUAAUUCCCAUUCGAUGUCUGUUGAAAUGGUUGCCUGCAUAGCUAUAGAAGCCAUCUCCAUACUGGAAAAGAUGCACUCAAAAGGGUAUGUCCAUGGUGAUGUGAAACCUGAGAACUUUCUGCUUGGUCCGUGUGGUACCCUGGAAGAGAAGAAACUUUUUCUUGUUGAUCUUGGACUGGCUACGAAAUGGAAGGGUGCUGGUAACGGGCACAUUGAAUACGACCAGAGGCCUGAUGUAUUUAGGGGAACUGUUCGUUAUGCUAGUGUGCAUGCUCACUUGGGAAGAACUGGAAGUAGGAGAGAUGACCUUGAAUCCCUCGCCUACACACUUAUUUUUCUUCUCCGUGGACGCCUACCUUGGCAAGGAUACCAGGGAGACAACAAAGGUUUUCUUGUCAGCAAGAAAAAGAUGGCGACCUCUCCUGAAUCUCUGUGUGGCAUUUGUCCACAGUCUUUUCGACACUUUGUUGAGUAUGUUGUGAACUUGAAGUUUGACGAAGAACCUAAUUACGCCAAGUGCAUCUCUCUUUUUGACGGCAUUGUUGGUCCACAUCCAGACACCAGACCAAUAAACACAGAUGGUGCUCAGAAGCUAAUAUAUCAGGUCGGUCAGAAGCGGGGCCGCCUCAUAGCAGAGGAAGAUGAUGAGCAACCUAAGAAGAAGAUUAGAAUGGGAAUGCCAGCGACUCAGUGGAUUAGUGUCUACAGUGCCCGGCGGCCUAUGAAACAGAGGUACCACUAUAAUGUUGCAGAUGAUAGAUUAGUACAACAUAUUCUGAAAGGAAAUGAAGAUGGCUUGUUUAUAAGUUCAGUUUCCUCUUCCGCAAAUCUGUGGGCUUUAAUAAUGGAUGCUGGCACUGGUUUUACUGCUCAAGUAUAUGAAAUUUCUCAACAUUUCCUUCACAAGGAAUGGAUCCUGGAGCAGUGGGAGAGAAAUUACUAUAUCACUGCAUUGGCUGGUGCGAAUAGUGGAAGUUCUUUAGUGAUCAUGUCAAGAGGAACAACGUAUGCACAACAAUCCUAUAAAGUAAGUGAUGCAUUUCCAUUCAAAUGGAUAAACAAAAAGUGGAAGGAGGGCUUCUAUGUCACAUCCAUGGCUACAGCUGGAAGUCGAUGGGCAGUUGUCAUGUCCCGAAAUGCUGGUUUCUCAGACCAGGUAGUGGAGCUGGAUUUCUUAUAUCCAAGUGAGGGCAUCCAUCAACGCUGGGAUAAUGGUUAUCGCAUCACUGCAACAGCUGCCACAUUGGACCAGGCGGCAUUUAUCUUGAGCAUACCUAGACGAAAACCUAAUGAUGAAACACAGGAGACGCUAAGAACAUCUGCUUUCCCGAGCCAGCAUGUGAAGGAAAAAUGGUCAAAAAAUCUGUACUUAGCAUCCAUCUGCUAUGGAAGGGCGGCAUCUUGA
This 1824-nucleotide ribosomal RNA is filed under the name Triticum aestivum (bread wheat). Its description in RNAcentral is "partial small subunit ribosomal RNA". The record is from RNAcentral. Lineage: Eukaryota; Viridiplantae; Streptophyta; Magnoliopsida; Poales; Poaceae.